AGUGAACGCUGGCGGUAGGCCUAACACGUGCAAGUCGAACGGCAGCACAGUAAGAGCUUGCUCUUACGGGUGGCGAGUGGCGGACGGGUGAGGAAUACAUCGGAAUCUACUUUUUCGUGGGGGAUAACGUAGGGAAACUUACGCUAAUACCGCAUACGACCUACGGGUGAAAGCAGGGGAUCUUCGGACCUUGCGCGAUUGAAUGAGCCGAUGUCGGAUUAGCUAGUUGGCGGGGUAAAGGCCCACCAAGGCGACGAUCCGUAGCUGGUCUGAGAGGAUGAUCAGCCACACUGGAACUGAGACACGGUCCAGACUCCUACGGGAGGCAGAAGUGGGGAAUAUUGGACAAUGGGCGCAAGCCUGAUCCAGCCAUACCGCGUGGGUGAAGAAGGCCUUCGGGUUGUAAAGCCCUUUUGUUGGGAAAGAAAAGCAGCAGGUUAAUACCCCGCUGUUCUGACGGUACCCAAAGAAUAAGCACCGGCUAACUUCGUG
This 492-nucleotide ribosomal RNA is filed under the name uncultured bacterium. RNAcentral's name for it is "partial 16S ribosomal RNA". It matches the Rfam family "Bacterial small subunit ribosomal RNA", at positions 29 to 507 of the family's 1533-position model. The record is from RNAcentral.